UCAAUCUAGGCGGCAUCAUCCGAUAAGCUAAUGGGCGAGGAGAACCACACAUACCCAAUUCUAGCUUAUUCUCAUGGCAUCCCGGGCGAGGAGAACCACACAUACCCGUUGAAUCACUGCCAGGCGAGGAGAACCACACAUACCUGCAGUUAUGAUUCGCUUGCCAUCUCUUUUACCACAAUUUCCACCGCUCCAUGUGCGACCACAUCACUAGGGAUUCCGGAAUCCACUUCAUAUCGCUCAAGGGUUGGUUUCAAACCCUAUAGUAUUGACCUAUCUAGGUCCAAUGUCCUUUUCACCCUAGGUCCAAUUGACUCUAGGUUCAACGUCUCUAUCACAUAACCUAGGUUUACUUAACUCUAGGUUCAAUCCAUAACCUAUGUCCUUUAACACUAGGUUAGAUGCCACUCAUGAUUCAUCCUAGGUUCAACAACACUAGGUUCAUUGUCAUUCAUGUCCAACCUAUGUUUUAUACACUAGGUUAGAUGCCACUCGACCUAUGUUCAAUAACACUAGGUUAGAUGCCACUCGAUCUAGUUCACAUGACUCUAGAUUCAUUCACAACCUAUGUUCUUUAACACUAGGUUAGAUGCCACUCGCUCUAAUUCACAUGACCCUAGAUUCAUUCACAACCUAUAUUCUUUAACACUAGGUUAGGUGCCACUCGAUCUACUUGACAUCCUAUUGUCAUCUCGAGUCUACAUGUACACGAAUCUUAUCCAACAUGCUCAUUAUACACAUAUGUAUUAAUAUGCAUUCACUUACUAGCAUGGUUUCUUAUCAUAUUAACAUGCA
Molecule: long non-coding RNA, 795 nt
Filed under: Ananas comosus (pineapple)
Lineage: Eukaryota; Viridiplantae; Streptophyta; Magnoliopsida; Poales; Bromeliaceae
Description: long non-coding RNA (ACOM_LNC010290)
Source: RNAcentral